UGCAGUCGAGCGGACGGAUGGGAGCUUGCUCCCUGAAGUCAGCGGCGGACGGGUGAGUAACACGUGGGCAACCUGCCUGUAAGACUGGGAUAACUCCGGGAAACCGGGGCUAAUACCGGAUAACUCUUUUCCUCACAUGAGGAAAAGCUGAAAGAUGGUUUCGGCUAUCACUUACAGAUGGGCCCGCGGCGCAUUAGCUAGUUGGUGAGGUAACGGCUCACCAAGGCCACGAUGCGUAGCCGACCUGAGAGGGUGAUCGGCCACACUGGGACUGAGACACGGCCCAGACUCCUACGGGAGGCAGCAGUAGGGAAUCUUCCGCAAUGGACGAAAGUCUGACGGAGCAACGCCGCGUGAGUGAUGAAGGUUUUCGGAUCGUAAAACUCUGUUGUCAGGGAAGAACAAGUACCGGAGUAACUGCCGGUACCUUGACGGUACCUGACCAGAAAGCCACGGCUAACUACGUGCCAGCAGCCGCGGUAAUACGUAGGUGGCAAGCGUUGUCCGGAAUUAUUGGGCGUAAAGCGCGCGCAGGCGGUUCCUUAAGUCUGAUGUGAAAGCCCCCGGCUCAACCGGGGAGGGUCAUUGGAAACUGGGGAACUUGAGUGCAGAAGAGAAGAGUGGAAUUCCACGUGUAGCGGUGAAAUGCGUAGAGAUGUGGAGGAACACCAGUGGCGAAGGCGACUCUUUGGUCUGUAACUGACGCUGAGGCGCGAAAGCGU
This 722-nucleotide ribosomal RNA is filed under the name Bacillus sp. (in: firmicutes). Its description in RNAcentral is "bacterial SSU rRNA". It matches the Rfam family "Bacterial small subunit ribosomal RNA", at positions 56 to 762 of the family's 1533-position model. The record is from RNAcentral. Lineage: Bacteria; Bacillati; Bacillota; Bacilli; Caryophanales; Bacillaceae.